AGUGGCGAACGGGUGAGUAACACGUGAGCAAUCUGCUCCUCACUCUGGGAUAAGCGCUGGAAACGGCGUCUAAUACCGGAUACGACGACCGAUGGCAUCAUCUGGUCGUGGAAAGAACUUCGGUGGGGGAUGAGCUCGCGGCCUAUCAGCUUGUUGGUGAGGUAACGGCUCACCAAGGCGACGACGGGUAGCCGGCCUGAGAGGGUGACCGGCCACACUGGGACUGAGACACGGCCCAGACUCCUACGGGAGGCAGCAGUGGGGAAUAUUGCACAAUGGGCGCAAGCCUGAUGCAGCAACGCCGCGUGAGGGAUGACGGCCUUCGGGUUGUAAACCUCUUUUAGCAGGGAAGAAGCGAAAGUGACGGUACCUGCAGAAAAAGCACCGGCUAACUACGUGCCAGCAGCCGCGGUAAUACGUAGGGUGCGAGCGUUGUCCGGAAUUAUUGGGCGUAAAGAGCUCGUANGCGGUCUGUCGCGUCUGCUGUGAAAACCCGAGGCUCAACCUCGGGCCUGCAGUGGGUACGGGCAGACUAGAGUGCGGUAGGCGAGANUGGAAUUCCUGGNGUAGCGGUGGAAUG
Molecule: ribosomal RNA, 580 nt
Filed under: uncultured Agrococcus sp.
Lineage: Bacteria; Bacillati; Actinomycetota; Actinomycetes; Micrococcales; Microbacteriaceae
Description: bacterial SSU rRNA
Rfam family: Bacterial small subunit ribosomal RNA
Source: RNAcentral